Molecule: ribosomal RNA, 567 nt
Filed under: Gastrotheca nicefori (Niceforo's marsupial frog)
Lineage: Eukaryota; Metazoa; Chordata; Amphibia; Anura; Hemiphractidae
Description: partial large subunit ribosomal RNA
Rfam family: Bacterial large subunit ribosomal RNA
Source: RNAcentral
CGCCUCUUGAAACGCAUAAGAGGUCCAGCCUGCCCAGUGACAUCUGUUCAACGGCCGCGGUAUCCUAACCGUGCGAAGGUAGCGUAAUCACUUGUUCUUUAAAUGAGGACUAGUAUGAAUGGCACCACGAGGGUUACACUGUCUCCUCUUUCUAAUCAGUUAAACUAAUCCCUCCGUGAAGAAGCGGAGAUAUAUCUAUAAGACGAGAAGACCCUAUGGAGCUUUAAACAAAACAGCAUUUGCUAUUACACAUAUGAAUCUCAGGAAACUAAUUUUUAUUUCAGCAUUCUGGCUGUCAGUUUUAGGUUGGGGCGACCGCGGAGUAAAAUAUAACCUCCACGCUGAAAAGGACAUUCCUUAAGCAAAAAGUCACAACUUUAUGCAUCAAUAAAUUGACAUUAAUUGACCCAAUAUUUUGAUCAACGAACCAAGUUACCCUAGGGAUAACAGCGCAAUCCACUUCGAGAGCCCUUAUCGACAAGUGGGUUUACGACCUCGAUGUUGGAUCAGGGUAUCCUAGUGGUGCAGCCACUACUAAAGGUUCGUUUGUUCAACGAUUAAAACCCU